This 347-nucleotide ribosomal RNA is filed under the name uncultured Allobrachymonas sp. RNAcentral describes it as "bacterial SSU rRNA". It matches the Rfam family "Bacterial small subunit ribosomal RNA", at positions 1030 to 1382 of the family's 1533-position model. The record is from RNAcentral. Lineage: Bacteria; Pseudomonadati; Pseudomonadota; Betaproteobacteria; Burkholderiales; Comamonadaceae.
GCACACAGGUGCUGCAUGGCGUGUCGUCAGCUCGUGUCGUGAGAUGUUGGGUUAAGUCCCGCAACGAGCGCAACCCUUGCCAUUAGUUGCUACGAAAGGGCACUCUAAUGGGACUGCCGGUGACAAACCGGAGGAAGGUGGGGAUGACGUCAAGUCCUCAUGGCCCUUAUAGGUGGGGCUACACACGUCAUACAAUGGCCGGUACAGAGGGUAGCCAACCCGCGAGGGGGAGCCAAUCCCACAAAGCCGGUCGUAGUCCGGAUCGCAGUCUGCAACUCGACUGCGUGAAGUCGGAAUCGCUAGUAAUCGCGGAUCAGCAUGUCGCGGUGAAUACGUUCCCGGGUCUU